GGGGAUAUGGCUUGGUAGUAAAGUGCUUGCUUGAUAUGCAUGAGGUCCUGGGUUCCAUCCCAAGUACCACAA
This 72-nucleotide transfer RNA is filed under the name Ictidomys tridecemlineatus (thirteen-lined ground squirrel). Its description in RNAcentral is "Spermophilus tridecemlineatus (thirteen-lined ground squirrel) tRNA". It matches the Rfam family "tRNA". Rfam says of the family: Transfer RNA (tRNA) molecules are approximately 80 nucleotides in length. Their secondary structure includes four short double-helical elements and three loops (D, anti-codon, and T loops). The record is from Rfam by way of RNAcentral. Lineage: Eukaryota; Metazoa; Chordata; Mammalia; Rodentia; Sciuridae.